GGGGAAACGAUAUUGGAAGCUUGCUUCCGAUAGGCGUCGACCGGCGCACGGGUGAGUAACGCGUAUCCAACCUGCCCACCACUUGGGGAUAACCUUGCGAAAGUAAGACUAAUACCCAAUGACGUCUCUAGAAGACAUCUGAAAGGGAUUAAAGAUUUAUCGGUGAUGGAUGGGGAUGCGUCUGAUUAGCUUGUUGGCGGGGUAACGGCCCACCAAGGCGACGAUCGGUAGGGGUUCUGAGAGGAAGGUCCCCCACAUUGGAACUGAGACACGGUCCAAACUCCUACGGGAGGCAGCAGUGAGGAAUAUUGGUCAAUGGACGCAAGUCUGAACCAGCCAAGUAGCGUGCAGGAUGACGGCCCUAUGGGUUAGUAAACUGUCUUUUAUGCGGGGAUAAAGUGUGGGACGUGUCCCAUUUUGUAGGUACCGCAUGAAUAAGGACCGGCUAAUUCCGUG
RNAcentral lists this ribosomal RNA (456 nucleotides) under uncultured bacterium. Its description in RNAcentral is "bacterial SSU rRNA". It matches the Rfam family "Bacterial small subunit ribosomal RNA", at positions 66 to 507 of the family's 1533-position model. The record is from RNAcentral.